UGUUGCAUUAUGUUUCAACAUGCAGGAUAAACACGUGUGCUCCAAACUGCAGACACGUACCUCUUCAAGCUCUUUCUCGUUCUCCAUCUACCUCUGUGCUAUUCUCUCCUUAACACAGAGGAGUGCUCUGUAGACUAUUGGUAAAAAGAGUUCCGAGUCGAGGUGCAUGUACAAACCCCAAGCAGCAUGAGAUGAAGAAUUUGCCAGAAAGUGAUGAUGUUUUUUCUGAUGUAGAGUGAUCUUCGCGGCCAAGG
Long non-coding RNA from Lycium barbarum (goji berry), 254 nucleotides. RefSeq lists it as uncharacterized. Lineage: Eukaryota; Viridiplantae; Streptophyta; Magnoliopsida; Solanales; Solanaceae. The transcript is spliced from 2 exons. The record is from RefSeq and is a predicted model, not a curated record.